ACCAGACUCCUACGGGAGGCAGCAGUGGGGGAUAUUGCACAAUGGAGGAAACUCUGAUGCAGCGACGCCGCGUGAGGGAAGACGGUCUUCGGAUUGUAAACCUCUGUCUUUGGGGAAGAAAAUGACGGUACCCAAAGAGGAAGCUCCGGCUAACUACGUGCCAGCAGCCGCGGUAAUACGUAGGGAGCGAGCGUUGUCCGGAAUUACUGGGUGUAAAGAGAGCGUAGGCGGCACUACAAGUCUCAUGUGAAAUACCCGGGCUUAACUUGGGGGUUGCGUGGGAAACUGUAGAGCUUGAGUACAGGAGAGGCAAGCGGAAUUCCUAGUGUAGCGGUGAAAUGCGUAGAUAUUAGGAGGAACACCAGUGGCGAAGGCGGCCUACUGGACGGUGACUGACGCUGAGGCUCGAAAGCGUGGGGAGCAAACAGGAUUAGAUACCCGAGUAA
This 446-nucleotide ribosomal RNA is filed under the name uncultured bacterium. Its description in RNAcentral is "bacterial SSU rRNA". It matches the Rfam family "Bacterial small subunit ribosomal RNA", at positions 330 to 793 of the family's 1533-position model. The record is from RNAcentral.